AGGGUUUGAUCAUGGCUCAGAACGUACGCUGGCGGCACGCCUAAUACAUGCAAGUCGAACGAAGUAGCAAUACUUAGUGGCAGACGGGUGAGUAACAUGUAGGUAUCUUCCCAUUGGUGAGGAAUAACACGAGGAAACUUGUGCUAAUACCUCAUAAGUCUUUACGGAGAAAGCUUUACGCGCCGAUGGAUGAGCCUGCACUUGAUUAGUUUGUUGGUAGGGUAAUGGCCUACCAAGACAAUGAUCAAUAGCUGAUUUGAGAGGAUGAUCAGCCACAUUGGGACUGAGACACGGCCCAAACUCCUACGGGAGGCAGCAGUAGGGAAUCUUGCACAAUGGGGGAAACCCUGAUGCAGCGAUGCCGCGUGAGUGAAGAAGGCCUUUGGGUUGUAAAGCUCUUUCGUCGGGGAAGAAAAUGACUGUACCCGAAUAAGAAGGUCCGGCUAACUUCGUGCCAGCAGCCGCGGUAAUACGAAGGGACCUAGCGUAGUUCGGAAUUACUGGGCUUAAAGAGUUCGUAGGUGGUUAAAAAAGUUGGUGGUGAAAUCCCAGAGCUUAACUCUGGAACUGCCAUCAAAACUUUUUAGCUAGAGUAUGAUAGAGGAAAGCAGAAUUUCUAGUGUAGAGGUGAAAUUCGUAGAUAUUAGAAAGAAUACCAAUUGCGAAGGCAGCUUUCUGGAUCAUUACUGACACUGAGGAACGAAAGCAUGGGUAGCGAAGAGGAUUAGAUACCCUCGUAGUCCAUGCCGUAAACGAUGUGUGUUAGACGUUGGAAAUUUAUUUUCUGUGUCGCAGCGAAAGCAAUAAACACACCGCCUGGGGAGUACGACCGCAAGGUUAAAACUCAAAUGAAUUGACGGGGACCCGCACAAGUAGUGGAGCAUGUGGUUUAAUUCGAAGAUACGCGCAGAACCUUACCAACACUUGACAUGUUCGUCGCGACUUUAAGAGAUUAAAGUUUUCGGUUCGGCCGGACGAAACACAGGUGCUGCAUGGCUGUCGUCAGCUCGUGUCGUGAGAUGUUGGGUUAAGUCCCGCAACGAGCGCAACCCUCACUUUUAGUUGCCAUCAUUAAGUUGGGCACUCUGAAAGAACUGCCAGUGAUAAGCUGGAGGAAGGUGGGGAUGACGUCAAGUCCUCAUGGCCCUUACGUGUUGGGCUACACACGUGCUACAAUGGCAUUUACAAUAGGAAGCAAGACGGCGACGUUAAGCAAAUCCUAAAAAAAUGCCUCAGUUCGGAUUGUACUCUGCAACUCGAGUACAUGAAGCUGGAAUUACUAGUAAUCGCGGAUCAGCGCGCCGCGGUGAAUACGUUCCCGGGUCUUGUACACACCGCCCGUCACACCAUGGGAGUUGGUUCUACCUUAAGGCAAAGUUUAAUACCUUUGACCACGGUAUAGUCAGCGACUGGGGUGAAGUCGUAACAAGGUAACCGUA
This 1439-nucleotide ribosomal RNA is filed under the name uncultured bacterium. RNAcentral describes it as "bacterial SSU rRNA". It matches the Rfam family "Bacterial small subunit ribosomal RNA". The record is from RNAcentral.